This 468-nucleotide ribosomal RNA is filed under the name uncultured bacterium. RNAcentral describes it as "bacterial SSU rRNA". It matches the Rfam family "Bacterial small subunit ribosomal RNA", at positions 28 to 507 of the family's 1533-position model. The record is from RNAcentral.
GACGAACGCUGGCGGCGUGCUUAACACAUGCAAGUCGAGCGGGGAUACGAGGGAGCUUGCUCCUGAGUAUUCUAGCGGCGGACGAGUGAGUAACGCGUGAGCAACCUUUCCUUCAGUGGGGAAUAACACAGGGAAACUUGUACUAAUACCGCAUGAGACCACGGUACCGCAUGGUAGAGGGGUCAAAGAUUAAUCGCUGAAGGGUGGGCUCGCGUCCGAUUAGCUGGUUGGUGGGGUAACGGCCUACCAAGGCGACGAUCAGUAGCCGGCUUGAGAGAGUGAACGGCCACAUUGGGACUGAGACACGGCCCAAACUCCUACGGGAGGCAGCAGUGGGGAAUAUUGCACAAUGGGGGAAACCCUGAUGCAGCGACGCCGCGUGAGUGAAGAAGUAUUUCGGUAUGUAAAGCUCUAUCAGCAGGGAAGAUAAUGACGGUACCUGACUAAGAAGCCCCGGCUAACUACGUG